CUUGGGGUCGGCGAAGCGGUGCGGGUCGUCUCCGAACUCGGCGAGCACCCGGGCGCCCAGGACCGGCCCGAGCCCGGGCUGG
Molecule: small RNA, 82 nt
Filed under: Modestobacter caceresii
Lineage: Bacteria; Bacillati; Actinomycetota; Actinomycetes; Geodermatophilales; Geodermatophilaceae
Description: Actinobacteria sRNA Ms_AS-4
Rfam family: Actinobacteria sRNA Ms_AS-4
Source: Rfam by way of RNAcentral